This 510-nucleotide ribosomal RNA is filed under the name uncultured bacterium. Its description in RNAcentral is "partial 16S ribosomal RNA". It matches the Rfam family "Bacterial small subunit ribosomal RNA", at positions 28 to 523 of the family's 1533-position model. The record is from RNAcentral.
GACGAACGCUGGCGGCGUGCUUAACACAUGCAAGUGGUGCGACGAACCAGGCUUCGGCCUGGGGCGAAGCCGCGAACGGGUGAGUAACACGUGGGCAAUCUGCCCCGUCGAUCGGGACAACCCGGGGAAACCCGGGCUAAUACCGAAUGUGGUGCCGGCUCAUGAGAGCCGGUACGAAAGGAAGCUUCGGCCUCCGCUACGGGAUGAGCCCGCGGCCCAUUAGCUAGUUGGUGGGGUAAAGGCCUACCAAGGCGACGAUCUGUAGCGGGUCUGAGAGGAUGAGCCGCCAGACUGGGACUGAGACACGGCCCAGACUCCUACGGGAGGCAGCAGUGGGGAAGAUUGGACAAUGGGCGAAAGCCUGAUCCAGCCAUGCCGCGUGUGUGAAGAAGGCCUUUUGGUUGUAAAGCACUUUAAGCGAGGAGGAGGCUACUAGUACUAAUACUACUGGAUAGUGGACGUUACUCGCAGAAUAAGCACCGACUAACUCUGUGCCAGCCGCCGCCGUAA